GUCAUAGCAACAGCCCUCUAUGCUCAGUAUCACUGUUGUCGUAGCACAGCUGUAAUGAAACCUCUUAAGGAGCAGCACCCAGUCGCCUCAAGGAACUGAAAAUCCAGUAGAAGAGCUGACACUACACCAGUCUCCAGUGACAGAGACCCUUCCUCAGAUGCAAUGUCAGAGAAGAGUUUCUUCACGGGAUCCAUAAAAAGCUGAGACUAGAAGCCAGAGACUUGCACAUGCUAGGCAAGCACUCCACCACUGAACAUCAGCAACAGACUUGAUGCUGCGUACUGAAUCCAUAAGCAUCAGGGUCAUCUUUAUCCCAGGCAAUCUAUUUGGGUCCAGAAAAGCCUAUUUGACAUGUGGUUGUAUGGUCUGGAUUCCUCUGCUAAUUUCAUUCUAAAUCAUGUUUUAUAACUAACCACUCUUGCAACAAAUAUUCACUAAAUGUUGACAGUGGGCCAGCCAAGCAGCUGAGCUCAGGGAAUGGGGAGAAUGAGGCAGAUACAGACAGGCUUUUACCCUAAGCUCAGGAGUGAGUGGAUUAGAAUGGCAAAGUGUACAAACGUGUUUAGUAGCAAACCGUGCAUGUUAGAGGUGAUGAGAUACAGGCUGCAGAGGGCCCCAGGGAGGCUUCCCUCUGACACUUGAAAUGUAAGCAUGCCCUAUGUCAGGUGGGGAAACUGAUGGGCCUCCAUCUGCAUGGCUUUGGGACUGAUCCGACUCAGACAAUAAAGGAAUGAAGAAAGGACAGACACACAGACACACAGACAGAAAAGCUGAAGUUAGAUGGACCAUGCACUUUGAUGGAGACAGACCAGCCGCCGUAGCCCAGAAACUCAGAAUGUGCAUUUUAAACAGUUGAAUCUGGGACACAGGUUUAGCUAACCGUGGCAUGGGGUUAGUCUCUGGCUGUAGACAUCCCACGGCGAGAAGGAAGCAUCCAGUCCAUCAGCAUUUUCUGCACGUGCUGUCAACACCUGCACAUGGACCGCGGAAGGAUUUGAAGCACUGGGAUCCUUGACAUGGCUGUGGACACGCUCACACUCACUCAGGACUCCAUCCACUCUCACACUAACAGAAUCUGGGCUAAGCUGAGACCUGGGCCAGGCUAGAUCCUUCCAGAAACUUGAUUCCAGCUUCCAAAGAGCAGUGGCGCCUAGAGGAAAAGUUGAGAAAGCUGCCUUUGUGGUGGUACAUACCUUUAAUCCCAGCACUGACUGAUUAUAUGGAGGUAGGAAGAUCAGGCCUGCAAGGCGAGCCUCCGCUAUUUAGAGUUGGAGGUUAGCCUGGACUGCAUGAGACCCUGUCUAGGGUAAACAGGGGCAGGGGGCAGGUAAAAGAAAGACAGAAGACUGGUCACUUCUUAGCCAGUCCUGAGCAGGAAAGAGUAGCUGGCCUCCAAGAUAAACACCAGGAAACAUUUCUGCUUAAUUCCCAUUUCUUUUUUAGAAUCUUUCUUGCAGUUAAUUCUUUAAAAUAUAUAUAAUUAUAUAGAUAUAGAUAAUUAUAUAUGUACAUACAUUUAUAUACAAUUCUUUAAUAUAGCCUAUAUAUUCAAUAUAUAUUGAAUUAAAUAUUACAUUCAGUUCUACACACACCAACACACACACACACACACACACACACACACAUUUGAAAACAUGGUUCAGCAGUUAAGAGCAUUCAUUGCUCUUUUAAGGACCAAGAUUUGAUUUCCAGCCCCCCCGGUGGUGGUCCACAUCUGUAACUCCAGUUCCAGAGGAUGCAAUAGCCUCUCUGAUCUCCACAGAGACACCAGGCACACACACAUAAAGCCAAAAAUGAAGUUUAAUUUUAAAAAGAUUUAUUGUUGAAAAAUUGGGGAAACAUUGAGGGAUCCAGAGAGGACAGGGACUCCACAAGAAGACCAACAGUCAACUAAGCUGGACUUUUGGGGACUCCCAGAGACUGAACCACUAACCAAAGAGCAUACAUGUACUGAACCUAGGCCCCCACACACAUAUUUAGCAGAUAUGCAGCUUGGUCUUCAUGCUAAUCUCCCAACAAAUGGAGCAGGGGCUGUCCCUGAAUCUGUUGCUUGCUAGUGGAUCCUUUUCCCCUAACUGGGCUGCCUUGUCAGACCUCAGUGGGAGAGGAUGUGCCUAGCCCUACAGUGACUUGAGGUACAAGGAUGGGUUGGUAACUGGGAGGAGGGGGAACCUUCUCCUACUCAGAGGAGAGGGAAAGGGGGAGGGACUGUUUCAGGGGUGGACUGGGAAGAGAGCAGGUCUAUGAUCGGGAUAUGAAGUAAAUAAAUAAAUAAAUAGAUGGAUAGAUAGAUAGAUAGAUAGAUAGAUAGAUAGAUAGAUAGAUAGAUAAAUAAGGAGGGGUAGUUUGGGUUAUGAGCCUAGCCUUUAAUGGCUGAGCCAUCUCUCCAGAAUCCUAACAGAGGGAGCUGGUGUAUCUCUGACUCAAAGGACUUUUCCUUUCCUAUUUGGUUGCCUAGUCCAGCCUUGUUCACCUUAUCUUACUGUGUUUUGUUUUGUCCUGUUUGUCUUUUGGAGGCCUGCUCUUUCCUAAAAAAGGAAACUAAGAGUGAGUGGAUGUGGGGGAAAAUUCAGAGGGGGAGGAGCUAAGAGGGGUAAAGGACAGGGGAGGGGAUGUAGUUGGAAUGCACUGUAUGACAAAAGAAACUAUUUUUAAUUUCAAAAAAAAAUAUUUAAGAAGUUAUUUAUUUCUGAGUCUGAAUGUUUUGCCUGCAUGUUUGUGUGUAGCAUGUAGCUAUCCAGAAAUCAGAAGAGGGCAUUGAAUCCCCUGGAAUUGAAUUUACAGGGAGUUGUGGGCUGCUGUGUGGGUGCUGGGAACUCAACCAAGGUCUCUGCAAGAGCACCAAGUGCUCUUAACCACUGAGCCAUUUCUCCACACUGCCACCACCACCACCUCCACUGCCACCACAGCGGAUACCAUACUGCCUCACAGAUGGGGAGAUGGAGGCUUGAAGUAUCUGCUUCCCCAGUGUCCAGAUCACAAAAUGGACAAAAUAAAAGCUAUGGCACGAACACA
This is a long non-coding RNA of Mus musculus (house mouse), 3015 nucleotides long. RefSeq annotates it as predicted gene, 36847. The transcript has 3 exons. Lineage: Eukaryota; Metazoa; Chordata; Mammalia; Rodentia; Muridae. The record is from RefSeq and is a predicted model, not a curated record.